Molecule: ribosomal RNA, 612 nt
Filed under: uncultured bacterium
Lineage: Bacteria
Description: bacterial SSU rRNA
Rfam family: Bacterial small subunit ribosomal RNA
Source: RNAcentral
GACGAACGCUGGCGGCGUGCUUAACACAUGCAAGUCGUGCGAGAAAACCCCUUCGGGGGUGAGUACAGCGGCGGACGGGUGAGUAACACGUGAGCGAUCUACCCGGUGGCGGGGGACAACCCAGGGAAACCUGGACUAAUACCGCAUACAGCGGAGGGAGUAGGUGCCCUUCGUGAAAGCUGGCCUCUCCAUGGAAGCUAGCGUCGCCGGAGGAGCUCGCGGCCUAUCAGCUUGUUGGUGGGGUAACGGCCUACCAAGGCGAUGACGGGUAGCUGACGUGAGAGCGUGACCAGCCACACUGGGACUGAGACACGGCCCAGACUCCUACGGGAGGCAGCAGUGGGGAAUAUUGCGCAAUGGGCGAAAGCCUGACGCAGCGACGCCGCGUGGGGGAGGAAGGCCCUAGGGUUGUAAACCCCUGUCAGGUGGGACGAACCCUGGGUCGACGAAUAGUUGGCUCAGCUGACGGUACCAUCAGAGGAAGCUCCGGCUAACUCCGUGCCAGCAGCCGCGGUAACACGGGGGGAGCAAGCGUUGUUCGGAAUCACUGGGCGUAAAGCGCGCGUAGGCGGCCGAGUAAGUCGUAUGUGAAAGACCGGGGCUCAACUCCGG